AUUGAACGCUGGCGGCAGGCCUAACACAUGCAAGUCGAGCGGUAGAGAGAAGCUUGCUUCUCUUGAGAGCGGCGGACGGGUGAGUAAUGCCUAGGAAUCUGCCUGGUAGUGGGGGAUAACGCUCGGAAACGGACGCUAAUACCGCAUACGUCCUACGGGAGAAAGCAGGGGACCUUCGGGCCUUGCGCUAUCAGAUGAGC
Molecule: ribosomal RNA, 200 nt
Filed under: uncultured bacterium
Lineage: Bacteria
Description: partial 16S ribosomal RNA
Rfam family: Bacterial small subunit ribosomal RNA
Source: RNAcentral